Molecule: long non-coding RNA, 364 nt
Organism: Clupea harengus (Atlantic herring)
Lineage: Eukaryota; Metazoa; Chordata; Actinopteri; Clupeiformes; Clupeidae
Exons: 4
Source: RefSeq, a predicted model, not a curated record
GUGCUCGGGGCUCUGGCUGCUGUGGCUCUGAUUGGUGUCAUCAUCUACAAAGUGAAGAGAUGGGCAUUUAAAGACACUGCAGAUGGAAAGGGGUCCCAACCUGAGGAUGAAGAUGGCACAUACGCAGCCCUAGACCCCAAGACCACAAGCCCUGCAGAGUAUGAUGCUCUCACUAGGGUGAAGAAACCACGCCAGGGAGACUAAAGCCAGUGGAUUCUCCUGCACAUGCUCAGCUUUCUGCACUAUCCUGAUGUGGACGACCCCUCAAGUCUGUCGCUGAAAUCAUGCAUUACAAUGUCUAUGGGUUAUUGGACACAGCCUGAGUAGAGAAUGGGAAUGGGAAUUCUGUUUGUUAUGCUAGUGU